UACGUAGGGUGCAAGCGUUGUCCGGAAUUAUUGGGCGUAAAGAGCUCGUAGGCGGUUUGUCGCGUCUGCUGUGAAAACUCGGGGCUUAACCCCGGGCCUGCAGUGGGUACGGGCAGACUAGAGUGCGGUAGGGGAGACUGGAAUUCCUGGUGUAGCGGUGAAAUGCGCAGAUAUCAGGAGGAACACCGGUGGCGAAGGCGGCUCUCUGGGACGGUACUGACGCUGAGACGCGAAAGCGUGGGGAGCGAACAGG
RNAcentral lists this ribosomal RNA (253 nucleotides) under uncultured bacterium. Its description in RNAcentral is "partial 16S ribosomal RNA". It matches the Rfam family "Bacterial small subunit ribosomal RNA", at positions 524 to 776 of the family's 1533-position model. The record is from RNAcentral.